AACACAUGCAAGUCGAACGAUGAACACCGGAGCUUGCUCUGGUGGGAUUAGUGGCGAACGGGUGAGUAACACGUGAGCAAUCUGCCCCCGACUCUGGGAUAACCCCGAGAAAUCGGAGCUAAUACCGGAUACGACACCUCCUGGCAUCAGGUGGGUGUGGAAAGAAUUUCGGUUGGGGAUGAGCUCGCGGCCUAUCAGCUUGUUGGUGAGGUAAUGGCUCACCAAGGCGACGACGGGUAGCCGGCCUGAGAGGGUGACCGGCCACACUGGGACUGAGACACGGCCCAGACUCCUACGGGAGGCAGCAGUGGGGAAUAUUGCACAAUGGGCGCAAGCCUGAUGCAGCAACGCCGCGUGGGGGACGACGGCCUUCGGGUUGUAAACCUCUUUUGGCAGGGAAGAAGCGAAAGUGGCGGUACCUGCAGAAAAAGCACCGGCUAACUACGUGCCAGCAGCCGCGGUAAUACGUAGGGUGCAAGCGUUGUCCGGAAUUAUUGGGCGUAAAGAGCUCGUAGGCGGUGUGUCACGUCUGCUGUGAAAAUCCAAGGCUCAACCUUGGACUUGCAGUGGGUACGGGCACACUCGAGUGCGGUAGGGGAGAUUGGAAUUCCUGGUGUAGCGGUGGAAUGCGCAGAUAUCAGGAGGAACACCGAUGGCGAAGGCAGAUCUCUGGGCCGUAACUGACGCUGAGGAGCGAAAGCGUGGGGAGCGAACAGGAUUAGAUACCCUGGUAGUCCACGCCGUAAACGGUGGGAACUAGAUGUGGGGUCCGUUCCACGGAUUCCGUGUCGCAGCUAACGCAUUAAGUUCCCCGCCUGGGGAGUACGGCCGCAGCUAAACUCAAGAUUGACGGGGCCCGCACAGCGCGAGCAUGCGAUAUCGAUGCACGCGAGAUCUAACAGCUGACAUAUAGAGAAAGUGCAGAGAUGCACUCCCCGCAGUCUCUUAUACAGGUGGUGCA
RNAcentral lists this ribosomal RNA (961 nucleotides) under uncultured bacterium. RNAcentral describes it as "bacterial SSU rRNA". It matches the Rfam family "Bacterial small subunit ribosomal RNA", at positions 50 to 1045 of the family's 1533-position model. The record is from RNAcentral.